AUAGAUAAGGAAGAGAGAAAUAGUAGUCACAGGAAUUGAGAGGCUGCUGGAGAAAAGCUUUACCCACUGUGGGCAACUUUCAGAGUACUUGAUGUUUAUUCUGUUGGGAUUCCCCCCCGCCCCUUAAUCUCUCUUCCAUUUCUUCUUAGAAUCUUUGAUUCUCAUUUUCUUCAAAUGGACUGUAAACAAUUUUCUCUUGUCUUAGCAUAGCAAUGCCUUUUGGUCCCCCAAAUCUCUCUCUGUCUGCAUCCAUUUUCUGGCUCUGCUGGUGGUACUGUUUUGCCUGGUGAUGGAUGUAUGACUAAACUAUAUGCUACAUUGUCUGUCACCUAGAACACCAUUGAUGUUGGGCUGUGCUCUGAGCAUUAAUUAGAUAACCUUAGCUCUUCUUUUUUAGUGUCCACAUUACAUGUUUAAUUCAUAUUCUAUGAGUUUUUAAUGUCACUCUUAGCUUAAGGAAAAUGCACCUUUAUCUAAACUCACCAUCAAUGAGUUUCAGUAGAAGUAAUAUUUUAUUGCAUGUAUUACCAUAAUUUGCCUUAUUAUUUCUUUGGGAAAUUUAUAUAUUUUUAGUGUUAUAAACCACAUUGCAGAGUGAUAUGUUUGUAGAUAGUGUGAGAAGAUGAACUUAAUCUUGGGAACUUUGAAGACUAUAAUGAGGUGUAUAGACAUUAUCUCUUUGUCUUCUAUGCCAAAGAUAGUAUGAUUUGCUUGUGUUGGUAAUCUUGAGUCCUUCCAUGUUGGUGCAGAGAAAGCUUUCAUAGCCCCCUAGAGGCCUAGAUUGUGGCCAUAGCACAGCACAUUUCCACAGUCCUCUUGCACUUCACAGUGAUACUACUGCAGUGGAUAGUCUCACGUCCCUGCCAUUGCGUGGAGGGACAGCCAUAUUUACAGGAUAAAUAAUGAUGGCAGCGGUUGGGUGGGAGGGUCAGAGACUGAAUGAGUCUGUAGUCUUGGUGGGCAUUGCCAGGUUGUGUUCCUUAGGAAUGGCUUUGCUUUGUUCUUCCCCCAGCAAUAUGUGGAAGUGCCCGUUUCCUUACUCCUGACAAUGGACUCGUGUGGCAACGCUUUACGUUCUCCCAUGCCUCGCCAGCCCCAUGUGAAGUUCUGACCAUCAGCUGCUCUAAAUAUUCCUUUGACGUUUAACUGCAAACUGAAGGGUGUUCCAGCUGCUGCCCCUGCCAAGUUCUGCCUGGAGCUUGGGGAAGACGAUGUAUUUAUGAGGAUUUGCAUCUCAUUCUUCUGAAUCAGCCAGGUUAAUUGCAAAAUAUUUAAAGUUUUGACAAUUGUGUGUUCCCCUUGACUUCCUCUACUUUAAUAAUCAGCAAAAGAGCCAAGUUAGCUGUUUUGUAUUUUAGAAUCCAAAUUAUUGUCCAUGUGUUAAUGGAUGAGACAAAAUUAAAGAAUUGUUUGCC
Non-coding RNA from Peromyscus maniculatus bairdii (prairie deer mouse), 1415 nucleotides. Lineage: Eukaryota; Metazoa; Chordata; Mammalia; Rodentia; Cricetidae. The record is from RefSeq and is a predicted model, not a curated record.